AAUCCCGAAAGCUUGAUUGAACCGCAGGUUCAAUCAUAAAAGGUGGCUUUUAGCUACCACUUACAGAUGGACCCGCGGCGCAUAGCUAGUUGGUGAGGUAACGGCUCACCAAGGCGACGAUGCGUAGCCGACCUGAGAGGGUGAUCGGCCACACUGGGACUGAGACACGGCCCAGACUCCUACGGGAGGCAGCAGUAGGGAAUCUUCCGCAAUGGACGAAAGUCUGACGGAGCAACGCCGCGUGAGUGAUGAAGGUUUUCGGAUCGUAAAACUCUGUUGUUAGGGAAGAACAAGUACCGUUCGAAUAGGGCGGUACCUUGACGGUACCUAACCAGAAAGCCACGGCUAACUACGUGCCAGCAGCCGCGGUAAUACGUAGGUGGCAAGCGUUGUCCGGAAUUAUUGGGCGUAAAGCGCGCGCAGGCGGUUUCUUAAGUCUGAUGUGAAAGCCCCCGGCUCAACCGGGGAGGGUCAUUGGAAACUGGGGAACUUGAGUGCAGAAGAGGAGAGUGGAAUUCCACGUGUAGCGGUGAAAUGCGUAGAGAUGUGGAGGAACACCAGUGGCGAAAGCGACUCUCUGGUCUGUAACUGACGCUGAGGCGCGAAAGCGUGGGGAGCGAACAGGAUUAGAUACCCUGGUAGUCCACGCCGUAAACGAUGAGUGCUAAGUGUUAGAGGGUUUCCGCCCUUUAGUGCUGCAGCAAACGCAUUAAGCACUCCGCCUGGGGAGUACGGUCGCAAGACUGAAACUCAAAGGAAUUUGACGGGGGCCCGCACAA
RNAcentral lists this ribosomal RNA (779 nucleotides) under Bacillus licheniformis. Its description in RNAcentral is "bacterial SSU rRNA". It matches the Rfam family "Bacterial small subunit ribosomal RNA", at positions 165 to 928 of the family's 1533-position model. Lineage: Bacteria; Bacillati; Bacillota; Bacilli; Caryophanales; Bacillaceae. The record is from RNAcentral.